UACGUAGGGUGCAAGCGUUGUCCGGAAUUAUUGGGCGUAAAGAGCUCGUAGGCGGUUUGUCGCGUCUGCUGUGAAAAUCCAGGGCUUAACCCUGGACCUGCAGUGGGUACGGGCAGACUAGAGUGCGGUAGGGGAGAUCGGAAUUCCUGGUGUAGCGGUGAAAUGCGCAGAUAUCAGGAGGAACACCGGUGGCGAAGGCGGAUCUCUGGGCCGUAACUGACGCUGAGGAGCGAAAGCGUGGGGAGCGAACAGGA
This 254-nucleotide ribosomal RNA is filed under the name uncultured bacterium. RNAcentral describes it as "partial 16S ribosomal RNA". It matches the Rfam family "Bacterial small subunit ribosomal RNA", at positions 524 to 777 of the family's 1533-position model. The record is from RNAcentral.